RNAcentral lists this long non-coding RNA (951 nucleotides) under Gossypium barbadense (sea-island cotton). Its description in RNAcentral is "long non-coding RNA (GBAR_LNC007369)". The record is from RNAcentral. Lineage: Eukaryota; Viridiplantae; Streptophyta; Magnoliopsida; Malvales; Malvaceae.
CCGGUCAAGCCAAUAGCUAUCGAGAGUAGACAGGUACUUGGACUUCGUUGUCUAAGAAAACAGGUUACUAAGCUUUAUCCAUAGUUGCCUUCUGAUUAUGCUCAGGGUGUGGCAACAUUUUCCCUGGCAAGAGGAGCAAUCUCCUCUCCUUCAAUGCCAGGUUCACUGCCAGCCACCCCGAGGCUCAACAACAUCUUCUCCCACAACCUUGAUGGUCCCUGCACAAAUCAAUAAAUUUCCAUUUAAACCUCAAAGAACUAGAGAUGCGUAUUCGUUUCUCCCUAGAACUCUAAAUUAGCUACAUUAUCCACCAUAUGCAAGACAAGCUUCCUACACGAGCUACUAACCUUCCAUGAAAAAUCUUGUGCCAUACAAUUCUGGAUCAUUUCUUUCAGUGCUUGAGUCCCAUAUGUUGCAAGAGCUCUCUUGACAGUUUUUACCACCUUAAUCACAUCACUUGGAUCCACUUCAUCACACUGCAAACACAUCCCAUUGAGAUGAAUGAUCUUCCCAUAAAAGGUGGAUGAGAUAAAUAUAAAUAUAUCAUUCACGGAGCUUCACACAAAGACAAAUCAUUUUUACUACUUACUUCAACAUUGAAAGCUCCCAUUUGGAACCCUGUGAAUCCUUCCUUGACCGUGUCAACAAGUCCACCAGUAGAGGCAACUAUCGGAACCUAUAGCACAAAACCGAUAGCGUAUCGAGGUUAAUCCGGUACAAUGAGACUAAGAUUAACAUAACAUAGUGCUUAUGACAUCAAAUCAGUUGGUUGCCGGAAAGAGAUGGCCAGAAGCAUUUACAGUUCCAUAUCGCAUAGCAUGCAGCUGAAUGAGACCGCACGGUUCGAAUCUACUAGGGACCAAAAUGUAGUCAGCACCAGCAAUAAUCAUAUGGGCCAAUGGGACAUUGAAUUUGGCUACUGCUCUAACGUUGUCAGGGUAUUGGAUCUCC